This 325-nucleotide ribosomal RNA is filed under the name uncultured eukaryote. RNAcentral describes it as "partial 18S ribosomal RNA". It matches the Rfam family "Eukaryotic small subunit ribosomal RNA", at positions 1470 to 1796 of the family's 1831-position model. The record is from RNAcentral.
CCCUUAGAUGUUCUGGGCCGCACGCGCGCUACACUGAUGAAUUCAACGAGCCUAUCCUUGACCGACAGGUCCGGGUAAUCUUUGAAUCUGCAUCGUGACGGGGAUAGAUUAUUGCAAUUAUUAAUCUUCAACGAGGAAUGCCUAGUAGGCGCAAGUCAUCAGCUUGCGUCGAUUACGUCCCUGCCCUUUGUACACACCGCCCGUCGCUCCUACCGAUUGGGUGUGCUGGUGAAAUGUUCGGAUCGGCCGUUUGUCGCGGUUUCCGCGGCUCGUGGCUGAGAAGUUCAUUAAACCCUCCCACCUAGAGGAAGGAGAAGUCGUAACA